This 1176-nucleotide ribosomal RNA is filed under the name Curtobacterium sp. RNAcentral's name for it is "bacterial SSU rRNA". It matches the Rfam family "Bacterial small subunit ribosomal RNA", at positions 296 to 1482 of the family's 1533-position model. The record is from RNAcentral. Lineage: Bacteria; Bacillati; Actinomycetota; Actinomycetes; Micrococcales; Microbacteriaceae.
AGGGUUGACCGGCCACACUCGGAACUGAGACACGGCCCAGACUCCUUACGGGAGCAGCAGUGGGGAAUAUUGCACAAUGGGCGAAAGCCUGAUGCAGCAACGCCGCGUGAGGGAUGACCGGCCUUUCGGGUUGUAAACCUCUUUUAGUAGGGAAGAAGCGAAAGUGACGGUACCUGCAGAAAAGCACCGGGCUAACUACGUGCCAGCAGCCGCGGUAAUACGUAGGGUGCAAGCGUUGUCCGGAAUUAUUGGGCGUAAAGAGCUCGUAGGCGGUUUGUCGCGUCUGCUGUGAAAUCCCGAGGCUCAACCUCGGGCUUGCAGUGGGUACGGGCAGACUAGAGUGCGGUAGGGGAGAUUGGAAUUCCUGGUGUAGCGGUGGAAUGCGCAGAUAUCAGGAGGAACACCGAUGGCGAAGGCAGAUCUCUGGGCCGUAACUGACGCUGAGGAGCGAAAGCGUGGGGAGCGAACAGGAUUAGAUACCCUGGUAGUCCACGCCGUAAACGUUGGGCGCUAGAUGUAGGGACCUUUCCACGGUUUCUGUGUCGUAGCUAACGCAUUAAGCGCCCCGCCUGGGGAGUACGGCCGCAAGGCUAAAACUCAAAGGAAUUGACGGGGGCCCGCACAAGCGGCGGAGCAUGCGGAUUAAUUCGAUGCAACGCGAAGAACCUUACCAAGGCUUGACAUACACCGGAAACGGCCAGAGAUGGUUGCCCCCUUGUGGUCGGUGUACAGGUGGUGCAUGGUUGUCGUCAGCUCGUGUCGUGAGAUGUUGGGUUAAGUCCCGCAACGAGCGCAACCCUCGUUCUAUGUUGCCAGCGCGUUAUGGCGGGGACUCAUAGGAGACUGCCGGGGUCAACUCGGAGGAAGGUGGGGAUGACGUCAAAUCAUCAUGCCCCUUAUGUCUUGGGCUUCACGCAUGCUACAAUGGCCGGUACAAAGGGCUGCGAUACCGUAAGGUGGAGCGAAUCCCAAAAAGCCGGUCUCAGUUCGGAUUGAGGUCUGCAACUCGACCUCAUGAAGUCGGAGUCGCUAGUAAUCGCAGAUCAGCAACGCUGCGGUGAAUACGUUCCCGGGCCUUGUACACACCGCCCGUCAAGUCAUGAAAGUCGGUAACACCCGAAGCCGGUGGAGCAGUCGGAUCUCGGCUCAGACCUAAGAUUAUUGACGCCCCCGCCA